Molecule: non-coding RNA, 30 nt
Filed under: Mus musculus (house mouse)
Lineage: Eukaryota; Metazoa; Chordata; Mammalia; Rodentia; Muridae
Source: RNAcentral
UCCUUGCCCACGUUAAUGUAGCCUCCAGGU